GGCAUUGUCCCCACUCAGAAAUGCUCCAAAAGAACUAAGGAGAAGGAUUAGAGGAGACAAAAUGUUUUUGCUAAAUUCUUGCACUGAAGCCAGAGUUGCUCAGGAAAUAACAGCUCAGUUUGUUAGCUCUGAUCUCUAAUUCCAUCCCAAAUUCAUAACGUUAUUUUUUUUGUUUGUUUCCAUUGUUCAUUUGUUGUGUGCCUCUUAGGAUGUCCCUUUCCAUCUGGGCCUCAAUGACCUUCCCUGGGAAAUGGGGUACUUGUACUUAACCAUACCCCUGCUUCUAAAGACAAACUGGGAAAAUUAAAUGGAAAUUCUAAAAGAAAGCUUCAUCUUUUAGUUCCUUAGAGAACUAGCAUUACAGUUGAUUACCUAGGUGAUGAUUCAAGCUAUUCAACCCUUGUCAUUCUGAAUGUACUUCUCUUCCAGCUUGCCUUGGAAAGAAAAUCAGCCAGUUAAAGAAAGCAUCAGCUGGAACUCUCUCAGCUCUCAGUGACUGCAGAGUGAACUAUGGCAUUCAGCAUAGAAAAUGUUCUUCCAGUGCUCCAAUAAAUAGCAUUCAGUUUUUAGCCCCAGGGAAUUCAGUGUAGCCCUGGUUACUCCUCACUGCCACAGCCAACACUGCUUCCUUGGGUAGGAGAAAUGAUUUAUGGAGGUGAGCAGCCAUUCCAAACUUUAAUUAAGCACGUAAAGAACCAUCAAUUUUUUAAAGGGCACCAACCCAGAAAGAUGAGAGCUGAACUCCUGUAGAACAUAAUUACCUUUCCAACAUUUUAUCUGAUCUCCUUGUUUUACUUCUCUAAGAUGAGCUGAACAACAGCCAAUCAACCACCCCCACAGGCCACCCUUGGACCAUGACAUACAGGGCAUCUGACUGAUAGUCCCACCAAGACUGCCUAUGAUCAUUUUACUCCUGCAGAGAAAGAUGUGCCUAAAAGAGAAGCAGCACCUACCUGGAAGACUCAGGAGACAAAGAGGGAAAGAGUGGGACACAGUGGAUUAUGCUCACCCUGAGGGUUAUCUGAGAAGAUUUCUGAGAACCUGAGAGUCUCAAAUGCCUGAGAGGUGGGAGCUGCAUAGAGAGGAACAGAAAUGAAUCCCCAAGAUUUCCUGGGCUGAGCCUAACAGGAUAUGAGAAGCAGAAACUUCUGGAUUGUGAGAAGAAACAAAGGAAGAAGAGAGAUGCUCUAUAGGAGAAAAAUCACAGACAAUAAGUGGGGAGAGCAAGAAGACAAAGUUUUGUUACUUUAAUUCACCACUCCUAUCCCCAGCCACCAGUGGCCAUCCUGUACUGGAUUCUAAACCCAGGGCCCUAA
This 1316-nucleotide long non-coding RNA is filed under the name Homo sapiens (human). RNAcentral's name for it is "HSALNT0303838". The record is from RNAcentral. Lineage: Eukaryota; Metazoa; Chordata; Mammalia; Primates; Hominidae.